RNAcentral lists this long non-coding RNA (325 nucleotides) under Panax ginseng (ginseng). RNAcentral describes it as "long non-coding RNA (PGIN_LNC000344)". The record is from RNAcentral. Lineage: Eukaryota; Viridiplantae; Streptophyta; Magnoliopsida; Apiales; Araliaceae.
GUGGGUAUCCGGGAUGUGGUAUCGAGACCGAAUCCUCUUUAGUUCAGCCUCUGUGACAAUCGAGGGAGUAUUGGCGUGCGAGAAUCGCUCAGUAUUCCUGUAGUAUUUGGAGGGGGUUUUGGGAUUUAUUGGGAGAGGGUUCUUAUCAGAUUUCGACCCCUUUGGGUUCAGUGUCGAGGCUCCUUCAUGAGCAGCAGUGGUAGGAUUUGGUGGAACGGCUGUGAGUGGGGUUACCAAUAUAGGAGAGCCUUGUGCAGAAUCCUGGGAAGCCAUUGUUGAUUAGUUGCAGAAGAAAGGAGAAAGUUCAGAAAGUCAGAGAGUUCAG